Anthonomus grandis grandis is the source of this 324-nucleotide long non-coding RNA. RefSeq lists it as uncharacterized. Lineage: Eukaryota; Metazoa; Arthropoda; Insecta; Coleoptera; Curculionidae. The transcript is spliced from 2 exons. The record is from RefSeq and is a predicted model, not a curated record.
CAUGGAUUGUCAUUAUAUAGAUUCUCUUUUGUGUACUUGUUUUUUGGGAUUGAUGAUGGUAUUGUCCAGUUGGUUGGGGUGUACAACCGAAUUUUACACGGUAUGUUCCAACUAUAUCCAGUUAACGAUAAAAUUAAUUUUAGUUGGAACUUUUACGGGUAUUUCAGUGCUGAUAAUGAUAAAAAAUCGCAUGCGAUUAAAAACGAUUUCACAGGUUAUAGAGUCUACGUUCGCCAUCAUUUAUAUCGUUGCAGCAGUUUCAGUUUUCCAACAAAUACACUGAAAUUUAAUUGAAAAAAUAUACGACUCAUUAGUUAUUACGAC